Paramuricea clavata is the source of this 645-nucleotide non-coding RNA. The record is from the annotation of a GenBank genome assembly. NCBI's taxonomy places the organism in Eukaryota, Metazoa, Cnidaria, Anthozoa, Malacalcyonacea, Plexauridae.
UAUAUAUAUAUAUAUAUAUAUAUAUAUACAUAUAUAUAUAUAUAUAUACAUAUAACUGAAAUAGAUAACUGAAAAUUGAUUGAACACACUUAAUGAUAAGCCUUUCUCACUCAAUUCUCACUAUAAGGCCAAAAUCUGCCAUUUUUGAGGCACUGCCUGCGUUCGUGAAAGAUUUUAGACAAUUCAAACAAGGUGAAAAGCGACUUUUAAAAGUAAAUUUACCAUCAUACAACAACUAUAUAAUACUAAAAAAUUGUAUUUCUAUAUUUCCUGGUGCGGAGACUCUCAAACGUGGGAGAGGCAGUAGCCCCAAAAUGGCGGAAAAAUCGGUCGUGAGCAGGGCGCUUUAAUAUAUACUAUAUAUAAGCGCCCUGCUCGUGAGAAAGGCUAAUUUGCCUUCGAUCGUGCUAGAUGAAAGCACGCGCGCAUGUGCAUAUGUAACCGAAAACUAUUAUAACAUUUGCCGAUAUUAUGAGAAAAUAUAUAUUAAUGUGCAAAGAAUUUGGAAGUUUUGGACUUGUGAUCUCAGAUAAACUGAGCUAAUUUUGUAUUGUAUAUAUAGUAGGUAUUAGACAUAUAUUAACACAAACAUGUAUAAUAUCAGUAAUAGAAAAUAUAUAGACUUGACAUAUUAUAUUAUAAAAU